UGGGGAAUUUUGGACAAUGGGGGAAACCCUGAUCCAGCCAUCCCGCGUGUGCGAUGAAGGCCUUCGGGUUGUAAAGCACUUUUGGCAGGAAAGAAACGUCGCGGGUUAAUACCCCGCGGAACUGACGGUACCUGCAGAAUAAGCACCGGCUAACUACGUGCCAGCAGCCGCGGUAAUACGUAGGGUGCAAGCAUUAAUCGGAAUUACUGGGCGUAAAGCGUGCGCAGGCGGUUCGGAAAGAAAGAUGUGAAAUCCCAGAGCUUAACUUUGGAACUGCAUUUUUAACUACCGGGCUAGAGUGUGUCAGAGGGAGGUGGAAUUCCGCGUGUAGCAGUGAAAUGCGUAGAUAUGCGGAGGAACACCGAUGGCGAAGGCAGCCUCCUGGGAUAACACUGACGCUCAUGCACGAAAGCGUGGGGAGCAAACAGGAUUAGAUACCCUGGUAGUCCACGCCCUAAACGAUGUCAACUAGCUGUUGGGGUCUUCGGACCUUGGUAGCGCAGCUAACGCGUGAAGUUGACCGCCUGGGGAGUACGGUCGCAAGAUUAAAACUCAAAUGAAUUGACGGGGUCGAA
RNAcentral lists this ribosomal RNA (575 nucleotides) under uncultured bacterium. RNAcentral's name for it is "partial 16S ribosomal RNA". It matches the Rfam family "Bacterial small subunit ribosomal RNA", at positions 355 to 923 of the family's 1533-position model. The record is from RNAcentral.